This 429-nucleotide ribosomal RNA is filed under the name Actinomycetes bacterium. RNAcentral's name for it is "Actinobacteria bacterium partial 16S ribosomal RNA". It matches the Rfam family "Bacterial small subunit ribosomal RNA", at positions 355 to 776 of the family's 1533-position model. Lineage: Bacteria; Bacillati; Actinomycetota; Actinomycetes. The record is from RNAcentral.
UAGGGAAUCUUCCGCAAUGGGCGAAAGCCUGACGGAGCAACGCCGCGUGAGUGAUGAAGGUCUUCGGAUCGUAAAACUCUGUUAUUAGGGAAGAACAAAUGUGUAAGUAACUAUGCACGUCUUGACGGUACCUAAUCAGAAAGCCACGGCUAACUACGUGCCAGCAGCCGCGGUAAUACGUAGGUGGCAAGCGUUAUCCGGAAUUAUUGGGCGUAAAGCGCGCGUAGGCGGUUUUUGAAGUCUGAUGUUAAAGAGUACAGCUCAACCGUGGAGGGUCAUUGGAAACUGGAAAACUUGAGUGCAGAAGAGGAAAGUGGAAUUCCAUGUGUAGCGGUGAAAUGCGCAGAUAUAUGGAGGAACACCAGUGGCGAAGGCGACUUUCUGGUCUGUAACUGACGCUGAUGUGCGAAAGCGUGGGGAUCAAACAGG